GCAAACUUGGUCAUUUAGAGGAAGUAAAAGUCGUAACAAGGUCUCCGUUGGUGAACCAGCGGAGGGAUCAUUAACGAGUUAUCAAAAACUCCAAAACCCUUUGUGAACCUUACCGUCGUUGCCUCGGUGGGCUGCGCCUACCCUGCAGCUACCCUACAGACAGCUACCCUGUAGCUGGGGGUAGCCUGCCCGGUAGCGCGCGCUGAGAGCCCGCCGGCGGACCACCAAACUCUGUUUUGCUGCAGUACGUAUCUGAAUUCUUCAACUGAAAUAAGUUAAAACUUUCAACAACGGAUCUCUUGGUUCUGGCAUCGAUGAAGAACGCAGC
This 328-nucleotide unclassified non-coding RNA is filed under the name uncultured fungus. RNAcentral's name for it is "partial contains small subunit ribosomal RNA, internal transcribed spacer 1, and 5.8S ribosomal RNA". The stretch from base 1 to 73 matches the Rfam family "Eukaryotic small subunit ribosomal RNA", at positions 1759 to 1831 of the family's 1831-position model. Lineage: Eukaryota; Fungi. The record is from RNAcentral.